Long non-coding RNA from Mya arenaria, 839 nucleotides. RefSeq lists it as uncharacterized. The transcript has 3 exons. Lineage: Eukaryota; Metazoa; Mollusca; Bivalvia; Myida; Myidae. The record is from RefSeq and is a predicted model, not a curated record.
GCGGAUUUAAGUGUUGUUUGGCGAAAUAUAUCAAUUGCCAUGCCUGCCAUAAAUAUCAUUUUCCUUUUUAUCAGUGUCAACGUAAAGUAAUUAAACAAAAUGGGAUGAUUCAUAAGUGAUCAGGAAAGACAGAACAUAGAACAGAACAUGAUUUCACUCGACGUAUAUCAACAAGAAUUCAAAGAUUUACUUGGGGUUUUAGCAAUGGACAAUCAAAUGGUCGAGCAACGACACGGGCAAUGUCAACGACGUUGUGAUCUUCUUAAACGAGCAGAGAAGAUCAUAGCCACCGCGAACUUUAGUAUUAUACUUUAUUUAAAAAGGGAAAGCCAUAACCGCACCAGAGGGGAUUGAAGUUGUCCGAAAAUCCAAAGUCCAUCCCACCAAAGUCCAGCUCUCCUAUGAAUGCUGUUGUUAAACAAAAAGGCAUUAUUCACGACAUCUGGCCCUCUUGCACAUUAUAAGGUCUCAUUCCAAGGAAAUAGACGACGAACACAUUUAAUUAUAUAGUAAUAUUAAUGGCUGGAUUAUAUAAGGCGAUCGGUUAAACUACAUACUUAAGAUUAAUCAACCUUCUUGUCUUGAAACAAACACCAAUCUCAUAUUCUUACUACCGCACAAAGUCUGAAAAUGAUUAUUGAAAAAUAAAAUAACCGGUUAAUCAACGGUUUUAUGUCAGUUUAACAGUGCAUUACGCAUUUUCAUUGUCGACUGUAUGCUGUAUAUUAUGAAUUUUGUACGUAAAUUAUUAGAAAUGAGAUUAUUAUUUGAAAUACAAUUAUUUUUUAAAUAGUUAAAAACUAUUAUUCAAUACUUACCAUAAGUUUCCUGAAAUUGAA